CAUGCAACAUAAUACCACCAUGAGCAAACUAAUCCCGUUUGAUUUUGGAAGCUAAGCAGCUUGGUUAAUACUUGGAUGGGAAACCACCGGGUAAUACCAGGGAUUUCCAGGU
This 112-nucleotide ribosomal RNA is filed under the name Pogona vitticeps (central bearded dragon). The record is from RNAcentral. Lineage: Eukaryota; Metazoa; Chordata; Lepidosauria; Squamata; Agamidae.